This 486-nucleotide ribosomal RNA is filed under the name uncultured bacterium. Its description in RNAcentral is "bacterial SSU rRNA". It matches the Rfam family "Bacterial small subunit ribosomal RNA", at positions 28 to 507 of the family's 1533-position model. The record is from RNAcentral.
GAUGAACGCUAGCUACAGGCUUAACACAUGCAAGUCGAGGGGCAGCACUAGGUAGCAAUACUGAGGUGGCGACCGGCGCACGGGUGCGUAACGCGUAUCCAACCUUCCCGUUACUCUUGGAUAGCCUUCCGAAAGGGAGAUUAAUACAAGAUGGUAUUCAAAUUCCGCAUGUUAUUUGAAUUAAAGAUUUAUCGGUAACGGAUGGGGAUGCGUGACAUUAGAUAGUAGGCGGGGUAACGGCCCACCUAGUCUACGAUGUCUAGGGGUUCUGAGAGGAAGGUCCCCCACACUGGAACUGAGACACGGUCCAGACUCCUACGGGAGGCAGCAGUGAGGAAUAUUGGUCAAUGGUCGGAAGACUGAACCAGCCAAGUAGCGUGAAGGAUGAAGGUUCUAUGGAUUGUAAACUUCUUUUAUACGGGAAUAAAACACCUUACGUGUAGGGUCUUGUAUGUACCGUAUGAAUAAGCAUCGGCUAACUCCGUG